RNAcentral lists this ribosomal RNA (254 nucleotides) under uncultured bacterium. Its description in RNAcentral is "partial 16S ribosomal RNA". It matches the Rfam family "Bacterial small subunit ribosomal RNA", at positions 524 to 776 of the family's 1533-position model. The record is from RNAcentral.
UACGGAGGGUGCAAGCGUUAUCCGGAUUCACUGGGUUUAAAGGGUGCGUAGGUGGGCAGUUAAGUCAGUGGUGAAAUCUCCGGGCUUAACCCGGAAACUGCCAUUGAUACUAUCUGUCUUGAAUACCGUGGAGGUAAGCGGAAUACGUCAUGUAGCGGUGAAAUGCUUAGAUAUGACAUAGAACACCAAUUGCGAAGACAGCUUACUACACGUACUAUUGACACUGAGGCACGAAAGCGUGGGGAGCAAACAGG